RNAcentral lists this ribosomal RNA (351 nucleotides) under Pinnularia borealis complex sp. Its description in RNAcentral is "partial 28S ribosomal RNA". Lineage: Eukaryota; Bacillariophyta; Bacillariophyceae; Sellaphorales; Pinnulariaceae. The record is from RNAcentral.
AUUGUCACUGAGUCGAGUUGUUUGGGAUUGCAGCUCCAAUUGUACGGUGGUAAAUUCCAUCUCAAGCUAAAUAUUGGCCGGGGACCGAUAGCGAACAAGUACCGUGAGGGAAAGAUGCAAAGAACUUUGAAAAGAGAGUGAAAGAGUACCUGAAAUUGCUGAAAAGGAAGCGAACGAAGCUAGUGAAAGCUGCGUCAUACUUUCCAACUUGCUUGCAACUUGGACGCUGUGGCCAGCCCAGUUGGGCUUGAUUGCAACAGGUGAAAGCAGGUAAAGAAAAGAUUCCAUUUUCUCUCGCCCUUGUUACAUUUAUUGCAUUKGAGCUGAACAAAAUAGCUUUGUUUGCCCGGU